This 468-nucleotide ribosomal RNA is filed under the name uncultured bacterium. RNAcentral describes it as "partial 16S ribosomal RNA". It matches the Rfam family "Bacterial small subunit ribosomal RNA", at positions 28 to 507 of the family's 1533-position model. The record is from RNAcentral.
GACGAACGCUGGCGGCGUGCUUAACACAUGCAAGUCGAACGGAAAGGCCCUGCUUUUGUGGGGUGCUCGAGUGGCGAACGGGUGAGUAACACGUGAGUAACCUGCCCUUGACUUUGGGAUAACUUCAGGAAACUGGGGCUAAUACCGGAUAGGAGCUCCUGCUGCAUGGUGGGGGGUGGAAAGUUUCGGCGGGUGGGGAUGGACUCGCGGCUUAUCAGCUUGUUGGUGGGGUAGUGGCUUACCAAGGCUUUGACGGGUAGCCGGCUUGGGAGGGUGACCGGCCACAUGAGGACUGAGGUACGGCCCAGACUCCUACGGGAGGCAGCAGUGGGGAAUAUUGCACAGUGGGCGGGAGUCUGAUGCAGCAGCGCUGCGUGCGGGAUGACGGCCUUUGGGUUGUAAACCGCUUUAGCCUGUGACGAAGCGUGAGUGACGGUAAUGGGUAAAGAAGCACCGGCUAACUACGUG